RNAcentral lists this ribosomal RNA (460 nucleotides) under uncultured bacterium. Its description in RNAcentral is "partial 16S ribosomal RNA". It matches the Rfam family "Bacterial small subunit ribosomal RNA", at positions 338 to 795 of the family's 1533-position model. The record is from RNAcentral.
CCUACGGGAGGCAGCAGUGAGGAAUAUUGGUCAAUGGACGAGAGUCUGAACCAGCCAAGUAGCGUGAAGGAUGACUGCCCUAUGGGUUGUAAACUUCUUUUAUAUGGGAAUAAAACGUUCCACGUGUGGGAUUUUGUAUGUACCAUAUGAAUAAGGAUCGGCUAACUCCGUGCCAGCAGCCGCGGUAAUACGGAGGAUCCGAGCGUUAUCCGGAUUUAUUGGGUUUAAAGGGAGCGUAGGUGGAUUGUUAAGUCAGUUGUGAAAGUUUGCGGCUCAACCGUAAAAUUGCAGUUGAAACUGGCAGUCUUGAGUACAGUAGAGGUGGGCGGAAUUCGUGGUGUAGCGGUGAAAUGCUUAGAUAUCACGAAGAACUCCGAUUGCGAAGGCAGUUCACUGGACUGCAACUGACACUGAGGCUCGAAAGCGUGGGUAUCAAACAGGAUUAGAUACCCCAGUAGUC